RNAcentral lists this long non-coding RNA (212 nucleotides) under Lepisosteus oculatus (spotted gar). RNAcentral's name for it is "lncRNA (ENSLOCG00000021332.1)". Lineage: Eukaryota; Metazoa; Chordata; Actinopteri; Semionotiformes; Lepisosteidae. The record is from RNAcentral.
CGGACAUUUGCCAAACGCCCCAGUGUUGCUGUCUGCACAGCUCCUGCAGUCAGCGGCAGGAUACCUGGCUGGGAGAGCCUGUUCAGCCUGAAUUCUUGUGCUCACGGCCAGCAGGGAGGCUGUGUGGACUACUCCGAGGACUGGGAGCAUGUGGAAGAAAUACUCCCUGUGUCAGAGUGAGAUAACAUCGUCUUUCACAAUCUGUGUAAAAU